UCAGGUAGAGGUGCUGAGUUC
RNAcentral lists this non-coding RNA (21 nucleotides) under Arabidopsis thaliana (thale cress). Lineage: Eukaryota; Viridiplantae; Streptophyta; Magnoliopsida; Brassicales; Brassicaceae. The record is from RNAcentral.